AUUGAACGCUGGCGGCAGGCCUAACACAUGCAAGUCGAACGGUAGCACAGAGGAGCUUGCUCCUUGGGUGACGAGUGGCGGACGGGUGAGUAAUGUCUGGGAAACUGCCCGAUGGAGGGGGAUAACUACUGGAAACGGUAGCUAAUACCGCAUAACGUCGCAAGACCAAAGAGGGGGACCUUCGGGCCUCUUGCCAUCGGAUGUGCCCAGAUGGGAUUAGCUAGUAGGUGGGGUAACGGCUCACCUAGGCGACGAUCCCUAGCUGGUCUGAGAGGAUGACCAGCCACACUGGAACUGAGACACGGUCCAGACUCCUACGGGAGGCAGCAGUGGGGAAUAUUGCACAAUGGGCGCAAGCCUGAUGCAGCCAUGCCGCGUGUAUGAAGAAGGCCUUCGGGUUGUAAAGUACUUUCAGCGAGGAGGAAGGUGUUGAGGUUAAUAACCUCAGCAAUUGACGUUACUCGCAGAAGAAGCACCGGCUAACUCCGUGCCAGCAGCCGCGGUAAUACGGAGGGUGCAAGCGUUAAUCGGAAUUACUGGGCGUAAAGCGCACGCAGGCGGUCUGUCAAGUCGGAUGUGAAAUCCCCGGGCUCAACCUGGGAAC
RNAcentral lists this ribosomal RNA (604 nucleotides) under uncultured bacterium. RNAcentral describes it as "bacterial SSU rRNA". It matches the Rfam family "Bacterial small subunit ribosomal RNA", at positions 28 to 621 of the family's 1533-position model. The record is from RNAcentral.